AUGGAGCUCUGCGAGGGGGGAGACCUGGCGACCUACAUCGAGCGCAGCGGCGGCAGGGUGGAGGAGAGCGUCGCCAGGAAUUUCAUGAGACAGAUCGGAGCUGGUUUGCAAGUGCUCCGCCGGCACCACGUCGUCCACCGGGACUUGAAGCCUGAGAACAUCCUACUCUCUUGUCCUGGCAGUGAUGCGAUACUCAAGAUAUCCGAUUUUGGCCUGUCCAGGGUUCUUCAUCCUGGGGAGUAUGCAGAGACAGCCUGCGGCACUCGUUUGUACAUGGCCCCGGAAGUGAUGCUAUUUCAGAAGUACGAUGACAAGGUAGACUUGUGGAGUAUGGGUGCGAUCCUCUUUGAGCUCUUGAACGGCUACCCGCCGUUCCGUGGUAGAAGUAAUGUGCAGAUGCUUCAAUGCAUAAACAGAACUAGCAGCUCUCUUCCGUUCUCGCAACUCGUUGUGCCCAGCCUGCAUCCUGAUUCCAUCGACAUAUGCACCAGACUACUGUGCACGAAUCCAGUAAAGCGGCUGUCAUUGCAAGAAUUCAUCAACCAUGGCUUCCUCCGACCGUAG
Molecule: ribosomal RNA, 564 nt
Filed under: Triticum aestivum (bread wheat)
Lineage: Eukaryota; Viridiplantae; Streptophyta; Magnoliopsida; Poales; Poaceae
Description: partial small subunit ribosomal RNA
Source: RNAcentral